Molecule: transfer RNA, 62 nt
Filed under: Rattus norvegicus (Norway rat)
Lineage: Eukaryota; Metazoa; Chordata; Mammalia; Rodentia; Muridae
Rfam family: tRNA
About the family: Transfer RNA (tRNA) molecules are approximately 80 nucleotides in length. Their secondary structure includes four short double-helical elements and three loops (D, anti-codon, and T loops).
Source: Rfam by way of RNAcentral
GGGGAUUUAGCUCAGUGGUAGAGCGCUUGCCUAGCAAGCAUAGGGCCCUGAGUUGGUCCCCA